This 253-nucleotide ribosomal RNA is filed under the name uncultured bacterium. RNAcentral describes it as "partial 16S ribosomal RNA". It matches the Rfam family "Bacterial small subunit ribosomal RNA", at positions 524 to 776 of the family's 1533-position model. The record is from RNAcentral.
UACAGAGGGUGCGAGCGUUGUCCGGAAUCACUGGGCGUAAAGGGCGCGUAGGCGGCCUGGUAAGUAGGGGGUGAAAUCCCGCGGCUCAACCGCGGGGCUGCCCCCUAGACUGCCGGGCUUGAGCAGAGCAGAGGCUAGCGGAAUUCCCGGUGUAGCGGUGGAAUGCGUAGAGAUCGGGAAGAACAUCGGUGGCGAAGGCGGCUAGCUGGGCUCUUGCUGACGCUGAGGCGCGACAGCGUGGGGAGCAAACAGG